GAUCAUGGCUCGGGAUGAACGCUGGCGGCGUGCCUAACACAUGCAAGUCGAGCGAAGCACUUUGCUUAGAUUCUUCGGAUGAAGAGGAUUGUGACUGAGCGGGCGGACGGGUGAGUAACGCGUGGGUAACCUGCCUCAUACAGGGGGAUAACAGUUAGAAAUGACUGCUAAUACCGCAUAAGACCACAGCACCGCAUGGUGCGGGGGGUAAAAACUCCGGUGGUAUGAGAUGGACCCGCG
RNAcentral lists this ribosomal RNA (240 nucleotides) under uncultured bacterium. Its description in RNAcentral is "partial 16S ribosomal RNA". It matches the Rfam family "Bacterial small subunit ribosomal RNA", at positions 15 to 235 of the family's 1533-position model. The record is from RNAcentral.